Long non-coding RNA from Macaca fascicularis (crab-eating macaque), 2291 nucleotides. The record is from Ensembl. NCBI's taxonomy places the organism in Eukaryota, Metazoa, Chordata, Mammalia, Primates, Cercopithecidae.
GAUAUGAAGUUUAUUCCAAUUACAUGGGAGUCCAAGAUAAUGCAUAUCCUUACCCAGUAAAUAGCUAAGUCAUGCUCUGGGUCUCUGCAGAAGUCAAGGACCAACAAAAUGUGGAUUUGCAAACCAGCUGCUCUUAAACAUAAAGUCUCUGGACUUCUACUCUCUUUUAGACUUAGAACUAGAUAUUAUAACAAGUUGCACACAAAGGCAAUUCCCUUGCAGUUUGUUUUGUUCCCUAUGAUGACUUACAUGUUAAAUUAACCUUGCCUCAUGAUAAACUGUGGAUCAAUUCAAAGAAAACUUCACUAACGUGAAAGAAAUGAAAGGGUGUCAAAGAGCAUUUUGGAAACAGUUUAAAAUCUAAAGGGAAGGCAUAUUUUAACACUCUAUGCAUUUAGUUUUGCAGCAAGGUUAGCCAGAAUAGUGAUAAUUUUGAUCACUACUUAUUGACCAGUGUUUUUCCCUUUAAAGACAGAUUGUCUUCUCUAGAGAAGAGGUAGUAAAUAUAUCAGUACAUAGGGUAAUUUCUAUAAUGGUAUUACAUUUUUUAAGCAAAUACCAAAAUAAAACUGUGUAACUAAGAAAAUAUAUACUAACAUGCAAAUUAAGGUUGCCAAGAAACAUUCUUAAUGGACAUCCUGGGUCUUAACAACAUUUUGUGAUAUGUUCAUUUAAAGAGUUUAAAUUUGCAAACCAUCUUUUAGAAUAAUUUCCUUUUCUUACUUCCUUUCACUGCCUCCACUUCCUAUUAUGAAUUUUAAGGCCCCCACACAAAAGACAAGUUCAAGUAUGCAGGUAUGAAAAGAGGUUAACAUUCCAAAAAUACAUUUUGCAACAACAACAACAAUUAAAUAGCAGAUUAUUUAAAGGGAACAAAUAAUUGUCUCAGAAUUUGUUUCACAUUAAUAAAAUUCGUUUCAUUAAAGACUAACUGCAAUGACUUAUAUAGUCACAAAAUUAAGACUCUUAGUAGGAAAGACCAUCAGUCUAAAUUGUGAACAAUUUCAACCUUCUCUCCAAUAGAACUGUAUAAAGAUAAGAGAGAAUCAUCACUUAUAAACAUUUCUAAGUGUUGCUUUAAAUGUUAAACAAGAUAAUGUUGUUGGUUAUAAUAUUAGAGUCACAUUAUACCCUUGAGAAUUAACAUCAGGAUUGACAAAUUGCAUUCCUUUUUUUUUCCAGAACUACAUUUCCACAUUCUCACAUGAGUCCAUAUUAUUAUAUGUCUGUGACUGAAAUUACAGAAUUCUAGUAUGUGGCUUGUACUGUAAGUUAAAACAGCCUCCAAACAGUAAAAGACUUGUUUCUCCUGCCUAUAAUCAUUUGCUAUCUUUAAAUGAAAUUAAUUAAAAACAAAGUAUUUAUGGAAUAUGUAUUUUUCAAAGGUGCUUGGUGUGCUUGGCAAAAAUAAAACUUUUCAUUUAGUAUAUAUCUAGAUUUUAAGUAUCAUUUACACAAUAAACUCUUAAGUCUUUAAAAAAAAUAAGAUGUAUAUCCCCUUAUCUGAGGAAGAUAAACUUAUUACAGAAGGAAGGGGAAAGAAUAUGUCAAAUUAAAGUAAACAUUUAAAUAUAUCCAUCAAUAAAAUAUACAUUAUACCCUUUCCAAGAUUGUCAGCUUUUGAGUAAGAAUGCAAAGCAAAACAGGUAUGGACAUCUGACGGUAAAUGAUAGAUUGGUUUUGUGCACAGAUAUUGAAUGAGCCUCUCCUUAUCGGCAUGACAUGGAAGACUAAAAACAAGGCUUUGAGAGGCCUUUAAAAACAAGUGACUUUUAAAAAGUUGAAAGAAGAUGGUAAUCUUGAUGACUAGGAAAUAUAUGUAAAUGCUGUUACAGCUACCUGCCAUAAAAUGUAAAUAUCUUAAAGUAGUUAAAUGACCAAAUUGCUAAUGCUACUACAGAAAAAGCUGAACAGCUGUCUAGUCUAAAUUUAUACACCUUGGUGCACUCUUUGCAAUUAAAUACUUUAAUGCGCACAAACAAGAAACCAGUAAAGCAUAUAGAAAAAUGUUUUGGCUAAUGUUUUCUUUCUCAUGCAAGUAUGUGCUGUACAUGUAAUAAAUAUAUUUUUGUUUGCUGGAAGAUGCUCUUCUGUGUUCUAACAAAGUAUUCAGUAAUGGCAGGUUAUAUGUUUAUUAAAGUGCCUAAUGGAUAUAACUCUUUUAAAAUGUCUUAACUGAAAGUUUUAUAAGCUUCACUAGAUGACAGAAGAAUCUCACAAGCCAGUAUCACAUGUUAACUUUUAAAAUUUACUAAGCCCAUAUUUUUUAAUUGUAUCAAAUAUUUGAAAUG